GGGUAAUGAGGCAAAUAGAGUACCAGAGACUAUGGUUUAAGAACAAGAGCUUCCUUUAUUGUACUAAAGAGAGAGCUCUUUACAGAUCGUUAAAUUUUACAAAAUCACACCCGACAGUUUCAGUUCCAUACCUUAGGAAUAGAUGUUUCUACAGAGUUCGAAUGUCUUCUGAAAUGAGCUCAAGACAUGGACGGGAACAAUGCGGAGGAAGUUAGUAGAGGAGGAUGUAUAGCUGCAGGAUUCGGAUUGAAGUUGAAGGAAAGAUAGGUCGCCGGCGACGAACCGUAGAAACCUCAGCGAAGAACUUCAGCGGAAACGUGCGGAGAUAAAGUGGCGAGAGCGAAUCGCUUACGUCUCCUUCGUUUUAUCUAAUUGAAGUCCCUCCUAUAUAGUCCUCUUAUAGUCCCUCCUAUAGGUUCCUACGACAGUUUUUAUAGUAUUCUCAACUAUUCGACCUUUUUACCUCAGUCGGUGCAGGGGAGAACGAUGUUUCCGGACAUCUGUCCUAACAUUACAUCAAUAGCUAAAAUCACGGCUGGAUUUAAUUACGUCGGAACAAGGAUUAUGGGUCGGACAGACAAUUCGAUUUAUUGCCA
Molecule: long non-coding RNA, 596 nt
Filed under: Androctonus crassicauda
Lineage: Eukaryota; Metazoa; Arthropoda; Arachnida; Scorpiones; Buthidae
Source: RNAcentral